RNAcentral lists this long non-coding RNA (361 nucleotides) under Eutrema salsugineum. RNAcentral's name for it is "long non-coding RNA (ESAL_LNC001580)". The record is from RNAcentral. Lineage: Eukaryota; Viridiplantae; Streptophyta; Magnoliopsida; Brassicales; Brassicaceae.
AUGUCGCAAAGUGUCCAGCAUAUUCGGAUCCAUGACAAUGAAACAGCACCUCUGGAACUUCUGACUCUGCAAUGCAUCUUCUGUAAAUCCCAUCGGAACUGUGCUUGUACAGAUAUGGCUCAUCCCAGUGGUAUCUUCGCAGCUCUCUCAGGAACUUCUUCUUUGCAUAGCCCUUAAAGUUCUCAGGCUCAGCCUCUGCAGCGAGAUAAUUGGCAAUAUCAGCAUACCAAGGACGUUGGGUGGCAGAUACAGCAGCUGAACUGAUCUCAGGAAGUCUGCUUCGAAUUCGAGACGUCUCUGUGUUCGGCUGAGCAAGGUGACGCACGACACUAGUGGUGGUGUCGCUCGUCACUGACGUUUC